Molecule: long non-coding RNA, 625 nt
Organism: Archocentrus centrarchus (flier cichlid)
Lineage: Eukaryota; Metazoa; Chordata; Actinopteri; Cichliformes; Cichlidae
Exons: 3
Source: RefSeq, a predicted model, not a curated record
ACUUUUGGCAGCUGUCAACAAGCUUCUUGCAAAAUUCUGUGUCAUCUGUGCAAAAUUCGGAUAAUGUUUUGAUUCUUAGUUUAGUCACCUGAGUUCUGUUCUGUGUCAUGGUGUUUUUAUUUAGUUCCUGUCUCCCUGUGGUCCCUCUGUGUGCCUGACUCCCUGAUGUUUCUGUCUGGUUUUGUCUCUCUGUUUGUCUGGUUUCUGUGUCAAGUUCAAGUGUCUUAAUUUGUAGUCCUAGUCUCUGUAUUUAGUCAUUUCCUGUUUUACUUUGGCAGUCCGCUUUAUCUUGUGCUCUGUAUUCCGUUUUGCUUCCUCUGUUUUGUUAAUGUGAUUCUGUUCAGCUGUUUUCCCUGGUGUGUCAAGUGCCCCUGAUUACCUGGUUCGUUUUGAUAUGCAACAACUGAGGUAGAGCCAGGCCAAACCAGCAUAAUGCACGCUGCUUCUUCUCUGGAGUCCGAGCAGCACUCACAUGUGUUGCUGUGGUGGUGUUGGUGUAUUGCUGGAGCAGUAGUCCAGUGGAACAGCAUGAGGAGGUUGUGUCCUGGCUCGAAAACCUGGGGCCAGCUGUGCAGAAAAAGGUUAAAGGAUAAAGUUCUGGGGGUUAAACUGUCACAGAACAACU